RNAcentral lists this long non-coding RNA (1557 nucleotides) under Taeniopygia guttata (zebra finch). RNAcentral's name for it is "lncRNA (ENSTGUG00000024959.1)". The record is from RNAcentral. Lineage: Eukaryota; Metazoa; Chordata; Aves; Passeriformes; Estrildidae.
AUGGGGGUGAGGGGGAGUCCAACCCACCCUUCUGCCCAGGGGUCCCCCCAGUUCCCUGUGUCCCCCCUCCCUGACAGCGCCAGGUCCCCUCGCCCCCCUGCCCACGUACGUUUUUGGGGUGAAGUUGGCAGAAACGGCCUCUUUUCAGCCCGUUUUGGGGGCCUGGAGCCCCGGCAGGUGCCGUGGGGCGAGGGCCGGGCCCGGCUGCAGCUCCGCUGCCACUUCUGCCCCGGCGCUGGGGAGGAACCACCGGAAAAGAACCAAAACCCCAGUGCAAACCAGCACAGCUCCAGCCAAACCAGCAACAACCCCCAUUGCCCCUGCCGAAGCGGCUCCGACACCCCAAAAUCCCCUUUUUUGGCAAAAGCACGGCUCGGGGGGCGGGGUGGGGGAGCCCCCAGAACUCGCAGCCCGUUCCCGGCUGCGGGCAGGGACGGGAGCAGUCCCGGGGGCGGAUUUUGCCCGUUCCGGCGGGUUUUUGCCCCGUUCCGGAGUUGUGUAAGCGCCGGGAGCGGGGUCUGGAGGCGCUCCCGCUGUGUCACCGCUGUCCCCGGCCGUCCCCUCCCGGGCCCGCUCCGUACCUCUCUGCCUGCGGGGGCGGCGCUCCGGGUCUCGCCGCUUUUUUUGGGGGAGCAAACGGGGCAAAAGCGAAUUUGUCACCCCCAAACUUCCUGGAGCAGGAAGGCGAGGCCGCCCCCACCCCGAGACUCCUCCCUGCGCCGCUCCCUCCCCCCGCGGGGAGCGGCUCUGGGGGGGCCCGGGUGGGUUUGGGGCUGGUUUGGGGAAAAUCCUGCGGGAAUUUCACCGCAUUGGAGCGGGGAGGGGCGGGGGUGGGGCUGGGCAGGGCGGGGGGCACUGGGGGGUGGGCAGGGGGGAUGGACAGAGAUGGACACUGGGGGGAUGGACAGGGGGGAUGGACACUGGGGGGAUGGACAGGGAUGGACAGGGGGGAUGGACACUGGGGGGAUGGACACGCAGGGAUGGACACGCAGGGAUGGACACUGGGGGGAUGGACAGGGAUGGACACUGGGGGGAUGGACACUGGGGGGAUGGACACGCAGGGAUGGACACGCAGGGAUGGACACUGGGGGGAUGGACAGAGAUGGACACUGGGGGGAUGGACACUGGAUGGACACUGGGGGGACACUGGGGGGAUGGACACUGAGGGAGUGGACACUGGGGGAGUGGACAGGGGGGAUGGACACUGGGGGGACACUGGGGGGAUGGACAGAGAUGGACACUGGGGGGGAUGGACAGAGAUGGACACUGGGGGAUGGACAGAGAUGGACACUGGGGGAUGGACAGAGAUGGACACUGGGGAGAUGGACACGCAGGGAUGGACACACAGGGAUGGACAGAGAUGGACACUGGGGAGAUGGACACACAGGGAUGGACACUGGGGGGAUGGACACGCAGGGAUGGACAGAGAUGGACACUGGGGGGAUGGACAGGGGUGGACACUGGGGGGAUGGACACGCAGGGAUGGACACUGGGGGGACACGGGGUGGGGUGGACAUCUGUGGGGUGUGUGUGACACGGGUGACACACUCACCGUAG